RNA transcript from Prunus persica (peach), 1211 nucleotides. It is a transcript of the gene named nudix hydrolase 2, with no coding region annotated. The record is from RefSeq and is a predicted model, not a curated record. NCBI's taxonomy places the organism in Eukaryota, Viridiplantae, Streptophyta, Magnoliopsida, Rosales, Rosaceae. The transcript has 10 exons.
GCGGCUGGGUUUGGUAUGUGCCGGUCGGCGGUCAACGCCUCCAUAACCCCCAAGCCUCCGGUGGACGACAACGUCAUAGUAAGAUCGGUCAUCCCUGCGAAUCGAUCAUCAAUGGCUUCCAAAGCUGAGAGUAGGGAAAGGGAGGUAAAGCUACUGAGUGCGAGAAAUGACCAGUAUGGAGGUGUGAUCGUAGACAUCAAUGGAGAUGAGCAUAGACCCUGCUACCUUUUUAUUAUCUCUGACCUCCUCAAUUGAGCAUUGGAAGGUGCAGGGAAAGAAGGGUGUUUGGAUCAAAUUGCCUAUAGAGCGAGUCAAUCUUAUAGAAGCUGCAGUCAAGAAAGGAUUCUGGUACCACCAUGCGGAGCCUAAUUAUUUGAUGCUCAUGUUUUGGAUUCCUCAAUCCGCUCAUACUCUUCCUGCAAAUGCCACGCACCGAGUGGGCAUUGGCGCAUUUCUCAUCAAUCAUAACAGAGAGGUGCUAGUAGUAGUCCAAGAAAAGGGUCAACGGCUUGGACAGUAUCGAGGGACGGGUGUGUGGAAGCUCCCUACUGGAGUUGUUGAUGAGGGAGAAGAUAUCUUUGCAGCUGCUGUUAGAGAAGUCAAAGAAGAAACAGGAAUUGACUCAGAGUUUGUGGAAGUUCUAGCAUUCAGACAACGUCACAAGUCGUUCUUUCAGAAGUCAGAUUUAUUUUUUGUGUGCAUGUUACGACCCCUCUCCUUUGACAUCCAGAAGCAGGAACACGAGAUAGAAGCAGCCAAGUGGAUGCCAUUUGAGGAAUAUGCAGCUCAACCAUUUGUCCAGAAAUACGAGCUUCUGAGCUACAUCCAUGACAUAUGCAAAGCAAAGAUGGAUGGGAAGUAUACUGGAUUUUCUCCAGUGCCCUCUACAAGUUAUUCUGUUCAGAAGAGCUACUUGUACUUGAAUACUAGCACGGCACCCAGGAGACAGAGUAAACUCUGAUGAUCAGGGCUGCAUAAAUCUCAGCUCCAGUGAAAAUAUUUAAAGAGAGUCAUAGUUAAAUGACAAAAAAGAAAAACAAAAGAAAAGAAAUUGCAUUGUCGAUGUUGAGCUCUGUUUAAAAUACGUGUAACUGUUCAAUAAUCUCAUCAAGAAAAGUUUUUCUUUCUGUAAUGCUAAUUCACAUCCUCAAAAGUCAAAAGGCAAAACUCUGGAAGCAAAACAGGGCCGCAACGAACAGCCCAUAGCGCCC